GCACCACAGUGUACAAUGCCUAUUAAGCUC
RNAcentral lists this non-coding RNA (30 nucleotides) under Rattus norvegicus (Norway rat). Lineage: Eukaryota; Metazoa; Chordata; Mammalia; Rodentia; Muridae. The record is from RNAcentral.